This 425-nucleotide ribosomal RNA is filed under the name uncultured bacterium. Its description in RNAcentral is "bacterial SSU rRNA". It matches the Rfam family "Bacterial small subunit ribosomal RNA", at positions 355 to 771 of the family's 1533-position model. The record is from RNAcentral.
UGGGGAAUUGUUCGCAGUGGGCGCAAGCCUGACGACGCAACGCCGCGUGGAGGAUGAAGGUCUUCGGAUUGUAAACUCCUGUUGAUCGGGACGAACAACCAUCGGGAUAACACCCCGGAGGUCUGACGGUACCGAUUGAGGAAGCCCCGGCUAACUCCGUGCCAGCAGCCGCGGUAAUACGUAGGGGGCAAGCGUUGUCCGGAAUCAUUGGGCGUAAAGCGCGCGUAGGCGGCCCGAUAAGUCCGCUGUAAAAGUCAACGGCUCAACUGUUGAAUGCCGGUGGAUACUGUCGGGCUAGAGUCCGGAAGAGGCAAGUGGAAUUCCUGGUGUAGCGGUGGAAUGCGCAGAUAUCAGGAGGAACACCCAUAGCGAAGGCAGCUUGCUGGGACGGUACUGACGCUAAGGCGCGAAAGCGUGGGGAGCGA